UACAGAGGUCUCAAGCGUUGUUCGGAUUCAUUGGGCGUAAAGGGUGCGUAGGCGGCGCGGUAAGUCGGGUGUGAAAUCUUGGAGCUUAACUCCGAAACUGCAUUCGAUACUGCCGUGCUUGAGGACUGGAGAGGAGACUGGAAUUUACGGUGUAGCGGUGAAAUGCGUAGAUAUCGUAAGGAGGACCAGUGGCGAAGGCGGGUCUCUGGACAGCUCCUGACGCUGAGGCGCGAAGGCUAGGGGAGCAAACGGG
RNAcentral lists this ribosomal RNA (253 nucleotides) under uncultured bacterium. Its description in RNAcentral is "partial 16S ribosomal RNA". It matches the Rfam family "Bacterial small subunit ribosomal RNA", at positions 524 to 776 of the family's 1533-position model. The record is from RNAcentral.